This 432-nucleotide ribosomal RNA is filed under the name uncultured bacterium. RNAcentral describes it as "partial 16S ribosomal RNA". It matches the Rfam family "Bacterial small subunit ribosomal RNA", at positions 29 to 506 of the family's 1533-position model. The record is from RNAcentral.
AACGAACGCUGGCGGCAUGCCUAACACAUGCAAGUCGAACGAGACCUUCGGGUCUAGUGGCGCACGGGUGCGUAACGCGUGGGAACCUGCCCUUAGGUUCGGAAUAACUCCCCGAAAGGGGUGCUAAUACCGGAUAAUGUCUUCGGACCAAAGAUUUAUCGCCUUUGGAUGGGCCCGCGUUGGAUUAGCUAGUUGGUAGGGUAAAAGCCUACCAAGGCGACGAUCCAUAGCUGGUCUGAGAGGAUGAUCAGCCACACUGGGACUGAGACACGGCCCAGACUCCUACGGGGGGCAGCAGUGGGGAAUUUUGGAAAGGGGGCGAAAGCCUGAUCCAGCAAUGCCGGGGGGGGGAUGAAGGCCUUGGGGUUGUAAAGCUUUUUUACCCGGGAUGAUAAGGACAGUACCGGGAAAAUAAGCCCCGGCUAACUCCGU